AGAGUUUGAUCCUGGCUCAGGAUGAACGCUGGCGGCGUGCCUAAUACAUGCAAGUCGAACGCACAGCGAAAGGUGCUUGCACCUUUCAAGUGAGUGGCGAACGGGUGAGUAACACGUGGACAACCUGCCUCAAGGCUGGGGAUAACAUUUGGAAACAGAUGCUAAUACCGAAUAAAACUUAGUGUCGCAUGACACAAAGUUAAAAGGCGCUUCGGCGUCACCUAGAGAUGGAUCCGCGGUGCAUUAGUUAGUUGGUGGGGUAAAGGCCUACCAAGACAAUGAUGCAUAGCCGAGUUGAGAGACUGAUCGGCCACAUUGGGACUGAGACACGGCCCAAACUCCUACGGGAGGCUGCAGUAGGGAAUCUUCCACAAUGGGCGAAAGCCUGAUGGAGCAACGCCGCGUGUGUGAUGAAGGCUUUCGGGUCGUAAAGCACUGUUGUAUGGGAAGAACAGCUAGAAUAGGAAAUGAUUUUAGUUUGACGGUACCAUACCAGAAA
Molecule: ribosomal RNA, 499 nt
Filed under: uncultured Leuconostoc sp.
Lineage: Bacteria; Bacillati; Bacillota; Bacilli; Lactobacillales; Lactobacillaceae
Description: bacterial SSU rRNA
Rfam family: Bacterial small subunit ribosomal RNA
Source: RNAcentral